Molecule: transfer RNA, 65 nt
Filed under: Hydroptila sp. XG-2021
Lineage: Eukaryota; Metazoa; Arthropoda; Insecta; Trichoptera; Hydroptilidae
Description: tRNA-Leu
Source: RNAcentral
UCUAAUGUGGCAGAUUAAUGCAAUGAAUUUAAGCUUCAUCGAUAAAAAUUUUUUUUUCUUUAGAA